AUUGAACGCUGGCGGCAUGCUUUACACAUGCAAGUCGAACGGUAACAGGCCUUCGGGUGCUGACGAGUGGCGAACGGGUGAGUAAUGCAUCGGAACGUACCUUUCAGUGGGGGAUAACGUAGCGAAAGUUACGCUAAUACCGCAUAUUCUGUGAGCAGGAAAGCAGGGGAUCGCAAGACCUUGCGCUGAUUGAGCGGCCGAUGUCAGAUUAGCUAGUUGGUGAGGUAAAGGCUCACCAAGGCGACGAUCUGUAGCGGGUCUGAGAGGAUGAUCCGCCACACUGGAACUGAGACACGGUCCAGACUCCUACGGGAGGCAGCAGUGGGGAAUUUUGGACAAUGGGGGCAACCCUGAUCCAGCCAUGCCGCGUGAGUGAAGAAGGCCUGG
Molecule: ribosomal RNA, 387 nt
Filed under: uncultured bacterium
Lineage: Bacteria
Description: bacterial SSU rRNA
Rfam family: Bacterial small subunit ribosomal RNA
Source: RNAcentral